Helianthus annuus (common sunflower) is the source of this 478-nucleotide long non-coding RNA. RefSeq lists it as uncharacterized. The record is from RefSeq and is a predicted model, not a curated record. NCBI's taxonomy places the organism in Eukaryota, Viridiplantae, Streptophyta, Magnoliopsida, Asterales, Asteraceae. The transcript is spliced from 3 exons.
CAGGUGAUUUCCAGAUCUAGGGUUUCAAUGACAUUGUAUCGUUGAUUUUCUCUCUAUCCCACAGAAGAUCCACUGGGGUUGACCUCUAGGGUUUCAAUGACACGGAAUCGAUGAUUUUCUCUCUAUUCGACACAAGAUCCACUGGGGUUGACCUCUAGGUACCGUUUUAAACCAUCUUCUCCGAGAUCGGCUGCUGCUUAUGUUAAUCCUCAUGGUCUUCUGUUCAGAUCUGGUUUUAAUACCGAGAACUAAAGGCUAGGGUUCAACUAACUGGCAGUUAACUUCUCCGAGAUCCGUUGCUGCUCGUGUUAACCCUCAUCUUCUUCUGUUCAGAUCUGGCUUUAAUACUGGUAAUCGUUUUACUGUAUAUAGUUUGAGCUAAUGAUUUUGUGUUUGAACUUUGAAUAUGUGAAUUUGAGUGUUAUUCAUGUGGAUUGUUGUUAAUUAAUGGUUAUGAGAGUUGCAACUGUACUACAAA